Molecule: transfer RNA, 362 nt
Filed under: uncultured Microcystis sp.
Lineage: Bacteria; Bacillati; Cyanobacteriota; Cyanophyceae; Chroococcales; Microcystaceae
Description: partial 16S-23S ribosomal RNA intergenic spacer
Rfam family: tRNA (bases 136-209)
Source: RNAcentral
AAAGGGAGACCUAAUUCAGGUAUAAGACGAAAAAAAAGUAGUCCCUACCAGGAAUCAAUCCCAAAAGGUCGGAGCGAGGCGAAAUUGGCUUUCAAACUAGGUUCUGGGUUCAAACAAGACCUGAAUCAGGAACAAGGGCUAUUAGCUCAGGUGGUUAGAGCGCACCCCUGAUAAGGGUGAGGUCCCUGGUUCGAGUCCAGGAUGGCCCACCUGCACAGGUGGCAAAAACAAGAGAAGCGAGGAAUCAGCACCUUAUCUUAUAUACAUAUAUAAGAGAGAAUGCUGGCUCUGAGUACAGAGUCCAGAGGAACCUUGAAAACUGCAUAGAGCUAGGUGAAAAAGCCAAAAAAGAAGACCGCAAG